CAUCGGGGGAGACUAACAGGAUUCCCCUAGUAACUGCGAGUGAAGCGGGAAAAGCUCAAAUUUAAAAUCUGGCGGUCUUUGGCCGUCCGAGUUGUAAUCUAGAGAAGUGUUACCCGCGUCGGACCGUGUACAAGUCUCCUGGAAUGGAGCGUCAUAGAGGGUGAGAAUCCCGUCUUUGACACGGACUACCGAGGCUUCUGUGGUGCGCUCUCAAAGAGUCGAGUUGUUUGGGAAUGCAGCUCAAAAUGGGUGGUAAAUUCCAUCUAAAGCUAAAUAUUGGCGAGAGACCGAUAGCGAACAAGUACCGUGAGGGAAAGAUGAAAAGAACUUUGGAAAGAGAGUUAAACAGUACGUGAAAUUGCUGAAAGGGAAACGCUUGAAGUCAGUCGCGUCGUUCGGGAAUCAGCCUUCCUUCUGGUUGGCGUACUUCCUGGUCGACGGGCCAGCAUCAGUUUUGACCGGUGGAAAAAGUUGUAGGGAAUGUGGCACCUCCGGGUGUGUUAUAGCCCUGCUUCGUAUACAUCGGUUGGGACUGAGGAACUCAGCACGCCGCAAGGCCGGGAUUCGUCCACGUUCGUGCUUAGGAUGCUGGCAUAAUGGCUUUAAUCGACCCGUCUUGAAACACGGACCAAGGAGUCUAACAUGCCUGCGAGUGUUUGGGUGGAAAACCCGAGCGCGUAAUGAAAGUGAAAGUUGAGAUCCCUGUCAUGGGGAGCAUCGACGCCCGGACCAGACGUUCUCUGACGGUUCUGCGGUAGAGCAUGUAUGUUGGGACCCGAAAGAUGGUGAACUAUGCCUGAAUAGGGUGAAGCCAGAGGAAACUCUGGUGGAGGCUCGUAGCGAUUCUGACGUGCAAAUCGAUCGUCAAAUUUGGGUAUAGGGGCGAGAGACUAAUCGAACCAUCUAGUAGCUGGUUCCUGCGAGUUUUUCUUACUAAGAAAAAAAAACACCCACCCGGCUUAAAAAGGGGGUCGCGAAUAAGUUCUUUUCCCCCCUAUAUACCAAAUUUUGAAGCAUGGAGUUUGGCCGGUCGGAAAUGGCUACCAGCCUCCACCAGAGUUUCCUCUGGCUUUCACCCUAUUCAGGCAUAGUUACAUCUUUCGGGUCCAACAUACAUGCUCUACCGCCAAACGUCAGAGAAACGUUCUGAUCGGGGUGCAUGUCCAUGAACAGGCAAUCACGUUUACUUCAUUACGUCUCGAUGACCGACCUCAGGCAGUUUGAAUUGGUUCCGGAUUUUCAGAAACACGGGC
This 1253-nucleotide ribosomal RNA is filed under the name Coprinellus disseminatus. Its description in RNAcentral is "partial large subunit ribosomal RNA". It matches the Rfam family "Eukaryotic large subunit ribosomal RNA", at positions 48 to 1154 of the family's 3401-position model. Lineage: Eukaryota; Fungi; Basidiomycota; Agaricomycetes; Agaricales; Psathyrellaceae. The record is from RNAcentral.